CCGGAAGCCGUUGGAGAACAACUCGUCGUCGACAUCGUCGUCGAACAGGUUCGGCUACGCACGGUACCGGUGGAGGUACGGCGGGGACGGCUACGAGUCUAAGCUCCCACCUCGGGCUCGGAGGUGACCUCGUACCUAGUCGGCACGUCCUCCACCUCGAGGCGUACCUAGUGCUGAACCAGCAGCACCCCCGGACCUGGUAGUUCGAGCGCCCGCUCUACCUGCUGGAGCCGUUGCCUCCGCGCGCACUCUAGGACCCCAAUUGGUUAGGUGCCCCGCGGUCUAGAAGGGAGCCCCAGCG
This 301-nucleotide ribosomal RNA is filed under the name Triticum aestivum (bread wheat). RNAcentral's name for it is "partial small subunit ribosomal RNA". Lineage: Eukaryota; Viridiplantae; Streptophyta; Magnoliopsida; Poales; Poaceae. The record is from RNAcentral.